GUUUUAAUAAUUUAACAAAAAUAUUGAUCUUGUAAAUCAAAAUUGGAAUACCUUAAAACU
RNAcentral lists this transfer RNA (60 nucleotides) under Nocticola sp. JW1 9/1. RNAcentral's name for it is "tRNA-Thr". Lineage: Eukaryota; Metazoa; Arthropoda; Insecta; Blattodea; Nocticolidae. The record is from RNAcentral.